UACGUAGGGUGCGAGCGUUAAUCGGAAUUACUGGGCGUGAAGCGUGGGCAGGCGGCUUUGCAAGACAGAUGUGAAAUCCCCGGGCUCAACCUGGGAACUGCAUGUGUGACUGCAAGGCUAGAGUACGGCAGAGGGGGAUGGAAUUCCGCGUGUAGCAGUGAAAUGCGUAGAUAUGCGGAGGAACACCAAUGGCGAAGGCAAUCCCCUGGGCCUGUACUGACGCUCAUGCACGAAAGCGUGGGGAGCAAACAGG
Molecule: ribosomal RNA, 253 nt
Filed under: uncultured bacterium
Lineage: Bacteria
Description: partial 16S ribosomal RNA
Rfam family: Bacterial small subunit ribosomal RNA
Source: RNAcentral